GGUUUCUCUGUGUAGCUUUGGCUGUCCUGGAACUCACUCUGUAGCCCAGGCUGGCCUCGAACUCAGAAAUCUGCCUGCCUCUGCCUCCCAAGUGCUGGGAUUAAAGGCAUGUGCCACCACACCCG
RNAcentral lists this microRNA precursor (125 nucleotides) under Mus caroli (Ryukyu mouse). RNAcentral's name for it is "miRNA (MGP_CAROLIEiJ_G0007905.1)". Lineage: Eukaryota; Metazoa; Chordata; Mammalia; Rodentia; Muridae. The record is from RNAcentral.